Molecule: long non-coding RNA, 3259 nt
Organism: Ictalurus furcatus (blue catfish)
Lineage: Eukaryota; Metazoa; Chordata; Actinopteri; Siluriformes; Ictaluridae
Exons: 3
Source: RefSeq, a predicted model, not a curated record
CUUGUCUUGGUUUUGGAAAUGGUCUUGCUACAGUAAAUGUGGUCUUGGUCUCGGCUGACAGUUUGUAAAAAAAUAAUGCUUGUGUUGUGUUUCUUUUUGCAUACACACAGAGCAAAUCAGCCUAAUCACUGGCUUAAUACUCGAAUGAAGCUGAAUAAUUGAAGCAAAGGCUUGGCCUCAAAUAAGAAGAAAGUGAAGAAGAAGAAGAUGAUGAAGAUGUUGAUGAUGAGGAUGUUGAUGAUGGGCUUCAACACUGCAAAACCAUAAUCAUGAACAAACCAACGGACUGCAUUCCAUCUCAUGCUCACCAGUACAACUCAAAAAAGAAGUAUUUUAAGUUUCAUUAAAGCUGCUCAUUUCCCAAUCGAUCCACUGCCCUGAUUAUGAGUUACUGCAAUGAUGUCCUGCGGGUGUUAUCUAGGGCAGCUCAGCAAGAUGAGCUCUACACCGCCAAUCUAGGUAAACAGUUUUAGAUUUCAAGCCCUGUAUGAAAACACGGCGUACGCUGGUAUCUUAGCAAGGUGGUCUAAGAUGUUACGAAAUAGCCGAUUUCUCCUUUUUUCCGAAAACAGCAUCAAAGUCAUGUGAGCAGUCAGCAGGUGUCAGAGCCUGGGCAGAGCAUUAAAGCAGGAAUGAUAAGCCUAACAGACUGAUGGGAAGGGGUUUAAAUAAAACUAGAUAGCUCUCACUGAACACUACAAAGAAACCAUUUCAACGUGCUUUAAAUAGGCUCCUGCGCUCACAAAGUUUCGAUGAAAAGAUCAACGUGAUUUGUAUAUCAAGCCGUGGCAAGAGAAAAGGUUCUUUCAAUAUUCCUUCAGUCGGAGUCCUUCAGCUGGAGGAAUAUUUUGCAGAAAAUUAGGUUAAUUGGCAACAGGUCAAUAAUGUGAUUGGGUAUAAAAAGAGUAUCUUAGAGAGGCGGAGUCUCUCAGAAGUAAAGAUGGGAUGAAAUCUGGAUGGAAGCAGAUGUUGCUCUAAAACCUGUUUAUACCUUUCAGCAUUGAUGAUGCCUUUCCAGAUGUGCAAGCUGCCCAUUCCAUAUGCACUAAUGCACCCCCAUACUAUCAGAGAUGCAGGCUUUUGAACUGAGCGCUGAUAAAAAGCCGGAUGGUCCCUCUCCUCUUUAGUCCUCUUUAGUUUACACUACAUUUACAUUUACAUUAUUCAUUUAGCAGACGCUUUUAUCCAAAGUGACUUACAAAUGAGAAAAUACAAGCAAAGCGAUAUAUCAAGCAGAGAACAACACAAGUAGUGCUACCAUACAAGAUUUAUAAUUGAGUUCUAGAAGAAGCAAAGUGCGCAGAGUAAGGUUUUUUUUUUUUUUAUGGGUUAGUUAGGUGUUCACGGAAGAGGUGGGUCUUUAGCUGUUUUUUGAAGAUGGUGAGAGAUUCUGCGGUCCGGAUUGAGGUUGGAAGUUCAUUCCACCACUGAGGAACAGUGAGUUUGAAGGUUCUUGAAAGGGACCUUGAGCCACGCUGAGUAGGUACUGCUAAGUGUCGGUCGUUGAUUGAUCGCAGAUUGCGUGAGAGAACGUAAGCCUUCAGGAGAGUGUUGAGGUAGGAGGGUGCUGUUCCAGAAAAGGUCUUGUAGGUGAGCAUCAAGGCCUUGAAUUUGAGGGGUGUGACAUGGGUUUAGAGGACGCGACGUCCAUGGUUUCCAAAAAGAAUUUCACAUUUCGAUUCGUCUGACCACAGAACAGUUUUCCACUUUGCCUCAGUCCAUUUUAAAUGAGCUUUGGCCUAGAGAAGACAGCAGCGUUUCUGGAUCAUGUUCACAUACAGCUUCUCCAUUGCAUGAUAGAGCUUUAACCAGCGUUUGUGGAUGGCGCGGCGAACUGUGUUCACAGACAAUGAGUUCUGGAGGUGUUUCUGAGCCCAUGCAGUGAUUUCCACUACAGAAUCAUGCAUGUGUUUAAUGCAGUGCCGCCUGAGGGACCGAAGAUCACGGGCAUGCAGUAUUGAUUUUCAUCCUUGUCCCUUGCGCACAGAGAUUUCUCCAGAUUCUCUGAAUCUUUUGAUGAUAUUAUGUACUAUAGAUGAUGAGAUAUUCAUAGUCUUCGCAAUUUUACAUUGAGGAACAGUAUUCUGAAAUUGUUCCACGGAUUGUAGAUGCAGUUUUUCAUAGAUUGGUGAACCUCUGCCCAGCUUUACUUCUGAAAGACUCUCUUUUUAUACCCAGUCAUCUUACUGACCUGUUGCCAAUUAACCUCCAGCUGUUGCCCCGUCCCAACUUUUUUGAGACGUGUUGCGGCCAUCAAAUUCAAAAUUACCUUCCUUUUUUUUUCCCCUAAAAAUGUUACAUUUAUGCAGUUUAAACAUUUGAUAUGUUUUGUAUAUUCUAGUGUGAAUAACACAUGGGUUUAUGAGAUUUGAAAAUCAUUGCAUUCUGUUUCUAUUUACAUUUUACACAGCGUCCCAACUUUUUUCGAAUUGGCAUUUUAAACGGGAAGUUCACACAUGAAUAAAACACACACAAAGACUGUUACCUUCUUUUUUCUUGGCAUGGGUACUGGGGCUUCUAGGCUCAAUUCUUUUUCUCUCGGUGAGACCUUGUCCUCGACUGCACUGCUCCGUGUGGCCUGAGAAAACAGGAAAUGACCAUUGCCAGAUAAUUAAUAGAUCUAUGAGUCAAUAAAAGUCAGCAGCAAUGGACCUUUGCAUCCUGACAUGUUUGGCUAUAAACAUUAACCAUUACAAAAUGAAACAGGAAGUGAAACAUGGGCAUUGCAGAAAUUAGAAUGCCCCCAAAUUAUACAAAUAUGGAUUAAGAACUAAUAGGAAAGAGUUUUAUUCUUCUUAUAUCAUGACAAUCUACCAAUGAUUUUAGUCCAUGCAUUAACAAUGUUCACGGCAUUAUAUGUUUAAAUGUUAUUUAAAACGCUUGUGUCCACGUUAUGGCUAUCCCGUGAACAGCUUCUCCCAUCUGAGCUAUGGACCUCUCCAUCUCUUUGACCUCUUUGCUUCUCUGACUAAUGACCUCUUUAUCUGAUCACUGACUUCUGGUGGACAGCCUUCUCUAGGCUCACAAUCACAGUUGUGACUUAGUCUUUCCAUUUUCAAUAAUGGAUUUAAUGGUGCUUUUCACGAUGUUCAAAGUUUUGGAUCAUUUGUUUUAUAAGCAAAUGCAUAUGCAAGGCACUGCAAGUCAUAAUGCGUGCUUGUCUGAUAAUUAACUUGAAUUUAAUUUUGCAUUUGCAACACUGUAAAAAAAAAAAAAAAACAUUCUGCAGUCUAUAUUAACACCUUCUUUAUAUACCCUU